AUUUAGGUAGAUUAAGAAUAAAUCGUAUCACUGAAGAUGAUAAAAUAAAUUUACAUUUCCUAAAUA
RNAcentral lists this transfer RNA (66 nucleotides) under Ozobranchus jantseanus. Its description in RNAcentral is "tRNA-Phe". The record is from RNAcentral. Lineage: Eukaryota; Metazoa; Annelida; Clitellata; Hirudinida; Ozobranchidae.